This 68-nucleotide transfer RNA is filed under the name Podarcis lilfordi (Lilford's wall lizard). Its description in RNAcentral is "tRNA.Leu". Lineage: Eukaryota; Metazoa; Chordata; Lepidosauria; Squamata; Lacertidae. The record is from RNAcentral.
GGGUGGUGCAGUGGUUACAGUGCCAGGCUAAGACCUGGGAGGCCAGGGUUCAAAUCCCCACUGAGCCA